This 687-nucleotide long non-coding RNA is filed under the name Fukomys damarensis (Damara mole-rat). RNAcentral's name for it is "lncRNA (ENSFDAG00000029070.1)". The record is from RNAcentral. Lineage: Eukaryota; Metazoa; Chordata; Mammalia; Rodentia; Bathyergidae.
AACAAACUUCCUCAUGGAGGCAGCUGACCUUACCUGACUGUGGGGGCAUGGAUAGCACUACAGGCACUUGGGAAAGGUGGGACACACCAACUCACAAGAGCUGGCUGAGAACUCGGGGCCACUGCACUGAGAAGCCCAUAGCCUGCAGAAACACAGUACCAGAGAGAGAGAGAGAGAGAGAGAGAGAGGCAGAAGCUCCCCAAGGAUCUGCAGGAGUGUUGAUAAAGGUGUCUCUUGUUCCCAUCUCCUCUGGAGGAUGGGGAGAGCCCAGGCUGCAUCCAGAGGAAAUCACCGAGUAUCUACAGACAUCAGCUGCCAACUUCAGACCAGCCAUGCCAUGGUGGGCAAGGCUGACUGCAGAUUUGAAGCAUUGUUUCUGAUUUUGAGGAUGAGUUUUUGUUUACAGAGGACACUGAGAGCACCACAGUUCCAGGAUUUCUCAUCCAGGAUUUCUGUCGUAUCUCCUUGUCCUGUAGUGGCUGAGAGAUGUCACCUCUGGCUUUGACGUUCCCUGCCGGCUGGCCCUGGCUUAUUCAUGGCACCCCUCCCUUGACACAGGGACUUGUCUCAGCACGGUGUGACCUCAAGAGCCACUGUCUAUGGUCUGCUAGCCCUGUCUGGCAGCUUGAAUGGCCUGAUCUCACUUUGGUUUGAUGCGUAAUACCAUGAACGAAUGACUUACAGAAC